This 1716-nucleotide ribosomal RNA is filed under the name Salmonella enterica subsp. enterica serovar Agona. RNAcentral describes it as "partial 23S ribosomal RNA". It matches the Rfam family "Bacterial large subunit ribosomal RNA", at positions 1186 to 2802 of the family's 2925-position model. The record is from RNAcentral. Lineage: Bacteria; Pseudomonadati; Pseudomonadota; Gammaproteobacteria; Enterobacterales; Enterobacteriaceae.
ACCAUGCACCGAAGCUGCGGCAGCGAACGUAUCACUUAAAGCGAUUCAGCGGGUUACGAUUGACGGAGCGAAGCGACGUCAAAGCGUAUACAAAGUCGAGUCGGUUUAAGGAUACGUUCGUUGGGUAGGGGAGCGUUCUGUAAGCCUGCGAAGGUGGCCUGUGAGGGUUGCUGGAGGUAUCAGAAGUGCGAAUGCUGACAUAAGUAACGAUAAAGCGGGUGAAAAGCCCGCUCGCCGGAAGACCAAGGGUUCCUGUCCAACGUUAAUCGGGGCAGGGUGAGUCGACCCCUAAGGCGAGGCCGAAAGGCGUAGUCGAUGGGAAACGGGUUAAUAUUCCCGUACUUGGUGUUACUGCGAAGGGGGGACGGAGAAGGCUAUGUUGGCCGGGCGACGGUUGUCCCGGUUUAAGCGUGUAGGUGUGUGUUCCAGGUAAAUCCGGUUCACUUUAACACUGAGGCGUGAUGACGAGGCACUACGGUGCUGAAGCAACAAAUGCCCUGCUUCCAGGAAAAGCCUCUAAGCAUCAGGUAACAUCAAAUCGUACCCCAAACCGACACAGGUGGUCAGGUAGAGAAUACCAAGGCGCUUGAGAGAACUCGGGUGAAGGAACUAGGCAAAAUGGUGCCGUAACUUCGGGAGAAGGCACGCUGACACGUAGGUGAAGUGAUUUACUCAUGGAGCUGAAGUCAGUCGAAGAUACCAGCUGGCUGCAACUGUUUAUUAAAAACACAGCACUGUGCAAACACGAAAGUGGACGUAUACGGUGUGACGCCUGCCCGGUGCCGGAAGGUUAAUUGAUGGGGUCAGCGCAAGCGAAGCUCCUGAUCGAAGCCCCGGUAAACGGCGGCCGUAACUAUAACGGUCCUAAGGUAGCGAAAUUCCUUGUCGGGUAAGUUCCGACCUGCACGAAUGGCGUAAUGAUGGCCAGGCUGUCUCCACCCGAGACUCAGUGAAAUUGAACUCGCUGUGAAGAUGCAGUGUACCCGCGGCAAGACGGAAAGACCCCGUGAACCUUUACUAUAGCUUGACACUGAACAUUGAGCCUUGAUGUGUAGGAUAGGUGGGAGGCUUUGAAGUGUGGACGCCAGUCUGCAUGGAGCCGACCUUGAAAUACCACCCUUUAAUGUUUGAUGUUCUAACGUGGACCCGUAAUCCGGGUUGCGGACAGUGUCUGGUGGGUAGUUUGACUGGGGCGGUCUCCUCCUAAAGAGUAACGGAGGAGCACGAAGGUUGGCUAAUCCUGGUCGGACAUCAGGAGGUUAGUGCAAUGGCAUAAGCCAGCUUGACUGCGAGCGUGACGGCGCGAGCAGGUGCGAAAGCAGGUCAUAGUGAUCCGGUGGUUCUGAAUGGAAGGGCCAUCGCUCAACGGAUAAAAGGUACUCCGGGGAUAACAGGCUGAUACCGCCCAAGAGUUCAUAUCGACGGCGGUGUUUGGCACCUCGAUGUCGGCUCAUCACAUCCUGGGGCUGAAGUAGGUCCCAAGGGUAUGGCUGUUCGCCAUUUAAAGUGGUACGCGAGCUGGGUUUAGAACGUCGUGAGACAGUUCGGUCCCUAUCUGCCGUGGGCGCUGGAGAACUGAGGGGGGCUGCUCCUAGUACGAGAGGACCGGAGUGGACGCAUCACUGGUGUUCGGGUUGUCAUGCCAAUGGCACUGCCCGGUAGCUAAAUGCGGAAGAGAUAAGUGCUGAAAGCAUCUAAGCACGAAACUUGCCCCGA